Long non-coding RNA from Uloborus diversus, 347 nucleotides. RefSeq lists it as uncharacterized. The transcript has 3 exons. The record is from RefSeq and is a predicted model, not a curated record. NCBI's taxonomy places the organism in Eukaryota, Metazoa, Arthropoda, Arachnida, Araneae, Uloboridae.
UUUACAGGAAGAUGUGGGUCAGUUGUCCCAAGAAACCAGUGAUCUCAUUGCAAAAUAUGAUCAACUUAUGCUGACAUUUUCAAAACAGUUUAUUCUUUGGGAUUCAAUUCUUACAGAUAUUGAAAAGGAAAGAAUGAAAGCAAAAAGCUUAAAAUAAAUCUUGUGUUGAAGUCAAAUCAUAGAAUUUCGUGAGUGUCUCAAAACUUUUGGAACUUUGAAUUCAUUCCCAUAAAUUAUUGUGCAAAAUCUUUAUAAUUAUUGUUAAUAUGAAUAUAAAUUGCCUUCAAAUGCAUUUGUAACAUUUUAUUAUUUGAGAAUAAACAUUGUUAUUAAAUUUCGUGGUGUAA